CAGUAGCCACGGGAAUACGAAGGGUGCAAGCGUUAAUCGGAAUUACUGGGCGUAAAGCGUGCGUAGGCGGUGAGUUAAGUCCGUUGUGAAAGCCCUGGGCUCAACCUGGGAAUUGCAGUGGAUACUGGGUCACUAGAGUGUGGUAGAGGAUAGUGGAAUUUCCGGUGUAGCAGUGAAAUGCGUAGAGAUCGGAAGGAACAUCUGUGGCGAAGGCGACUAUCUGGGCCAACACUGACACUGAGGCACGAAAGCGUGGGGAGCAAACAGGAUUAGAUACCCGAGUAGUCCCUGUCUCUUAUAC
Molecule: ribosomal RNA, 301 nt
Filed under: uncultured bacterium
Lineage: Bacteria
Description: partial 16S ribosomal RNA
Rfam family: Bacterial small subunit ribosomal RNA
Source: RNAcentral